RNAcentral lists this long non-coding RNA (2540 nucleotides) under Homo sapiens (human). RNAcentral's name for it is "HSALNT0237374". Lineage: Eukaryota; Metazoa; Chordata; Mammalia; Primates; Hominidae. The record is from RNAcentral.
CUGAAUUAUCACCUUUUUUUCUCAGAAGGUUCUGUGCUGAGGGUAAAUUGUCAGGAGGUCUAAGUUAGCCAUGGCUGUGUUAGCUUAGCCGUCUUUACUAUCCAUGGCCACUGUCCUAGCCUCGCCAGGCUUCUCUUGGCAAGUCUGUGGCUUUGAGUCUAUGAGUCCACAGCACUGAGCCUGGUUCUACUUCUUACUGGGUCUGUGAUCUUGGUGCUUCUGAAUCUCUCUAAGACUCAGUUUCCUCAAAAGGAGAGGCACUGUGAUAGCUGUACUCGCCUUACAAGUUAUAUAUAUAUAUAUUGAGCACCUACUCUGUCAGGCAUGCUGUAAACGUGCACUAGAAUCCUCAUAACAAUCCUAAAGGCAGGAUUCUAACGUCAUCAACAAGGAAAAACAUUCUAUUUUCUCCAGGGAGGCAAUGCUUUUCCUAAAAAGUUGAGAAUUUAGACCUGGACUUGGCUGAGCUGUUUUACUGAUUUUUGCAAGAGCAAGAGUAAGGUGACCCAUGCAGGGAAAAUCAUCCUAGACUAAACUUCUAAAACCAUACGUGUUGCCUAUCGGUUAUAACCCAGGUGGGGCAUCUUUUCUGCUGCGACAUGUGUACCCGUCAGCCAACGUGUGAUGAGCUCUCACGUUCAGACCUUGGUCUGUCAGCUGUCACCACUCCCUUAUCUCAUGCUGGAAAGGCACACCAAAAUACAGAGAACUUUCAGAAAGGCACCAUCGGUCUUGAGCUGGAAGCCCGCCUUUUAGGUUUUGAAGAGAGAAGAGGUGGAGGAGGAUGUGUGCUCCAUGAAGACGUGUUCACAGACUCUAACUUGCUAUGGAGUGGCCAGAGGGCUCGACGAAGAUGCCAACUGCCUUCAGAUGUCUCCAGCUCCUAUCACGGCUGUGUGAAGCUAUAGGCUGUGGUAAAGACCAACCAGGGGAGAACAAGCAAAGGCCAUUUAUUCAGAGGCUGCUGUAUCAGGGGAGUCAGCCACCCACACAUGUCUUAUGGAAAGCUGCUUCUGCCCCAACCCUGUUUUAGCUAGUCUUCAGUUUAAUCUGAUAUCCGGUACCACCUCCUACCCCAUUUCUACCCAUCUUAGGUUCAUUGGCUGGGACGCCUGUGACAAAAGACAGAUUAACAAGAGAAAGGUACACAAAUUUAUUUAAUAUGUGUUAUGUGACACAGGAGCCUUCAAAAGGAAAUGAAGUUCUGAAGAAACAGCUAAACCUGAAUGGUUUUUGUCGUAGAUUUGAGAAGAAUGAAGCAUUGUGGGAAAAUAUGACAAAGUAAAGAAAAAGAAUGAGAGAAAUGUAAUAAAUCGGGGAAUCUUAGAAAAGCCUGUUUGCUCAGAUUACUCUCUGUGUCCCUUCAAAGAGAUAAUACCCAAUGCUUGUUUCCCCUGUGUAUAGGGAGGACCCCUCGCACAAAAGGGUUUUGAUCUGCUUCAAGGGAAGGUCAGACAGAGAGUCUUUUCCUGUCCAUGUACUUUCUCAAAUUCCUUCAGCUUAAAAUCAACAUGUCAAGGUGCCAUACUUUAAAGUAGUGAUAUGGUUUGGAUCUGUGUCCCCACCAAAUCUCCUGUUGAAUUAUAAUCCCCAGUGUUGGAGGUGGGGCCUAGUGAGAAGUGAUUGGGUCAUGGGAGUGGAGUUGUCAUGAAUAAGUUAGCACUACCCUCUCAGUCCUGUUCUCCUGAUAGCGUGUGAGUGAGUUAUCAUGAGAUUUAGUUGCUUAAAAGUCGGUAGCACCUCCCCAACCUUCCUCCUGCCCUGGCCAUGUGAAGUGUCGGCUCCUCGACUUUGCCUCCCGCCAUAAUUGUAAGUUUCCUAAGGCCUCCCCAGAAGCUGAUGCCGCCAUUCUUUCCGGACAGCCUGCAGGAUUGUGAGCCAAUUAAGCCUUUUUUCUUUAUAAAUGAUGCAGUCUCAGGCAUUUCUUUAUAGCAAUAAAAGAAUAGACUAAUACAGGUAGUAUGUGCUGAAACUCAUCGCAGGUUAUCAAAAAAUGACCAGGAAGGGUAUGGUAACCUAGGGUUGUUUAAUAGGUCUUGUGAUGCCGAUUUUAGCCUGGCCUUCUUCAUUGGUAAGAGUUGUUAAGCAUCUUCUUUCUGGCACAGGAGAGGGAGACAUCUUUUCCAAAUGUAAAUUUCCUUUACAAAAGGAAGACGUAUUAGAGCUUUUCCUGGAUCUACUGGUUCUCAAUGGCCUUUAGUUCAAAAUUGUCCAUAUGCCAAAGAGGCAUAUUUUGGGUGGCAUGCUUUGCUACCCUUCAAAGCCAAAUCUGCACUCCUACCUGAUCACAUAAGACACCUUGCUUCCACCAGUGUGCCACAUCAGUUUACCAUUGUCAUGGCAACACCCAGGAGUUACUGCCCCUUUCCAUGACAAUGAUCUGGUGACCCAAAAGUUACUACCCCUUCCCUAGAAAUUUCUGCAUAAACCACUCCUUAAUCUGCAUGCAAUUAAAGGUAGGUAUAAAUAUGACUGCAAAACUGCCCUGAGCUGCUACCCUGACUGUGGGGUAGCCCUGCUCUGCAGGAGCAGUCACGGAG